Molecule: ribosomal RNA, 270 nt
Filed under: uncultured bacterium
Lineage: Bacteria
Description: partial 16S ribosomal RNA
Rfam family: Bacterial small subunit ribosomal RNA
Source: RNAcentral
AACGAACGCUGGCGGCGUACUUAACACAUGCAAGUCGGACGAGAAAGGAGACUUCGGUCUCUGAGUACAGUGGCGCACGGGUGCGUAACACGUAAGUAAUCUACCCCGAACUCUGGGAUAACCCUCCGAAAGGAGGGCUAAUACUGGAUAGGGUCCCCGAGGUGUAGACUGCGGGGGGAAAACGGGCCUCUGUUUCAUGCUCGUGGUUUGGGAUGAGCUUGCGGCCCAUUAGCUAGUUGGUAAGGUAAUGGCCUACCAAGGCAACGAUGG